UGUGUGUGUAUUGGAUAAUGUGAUGUGUAUACUAGGUGUCUAUGAUGUGUGUGUAUUGGAUAAUGUGAUGUGUAUACUAGGUGUCUAUGAUGUGUGUGUAUUGGAUAAUGUGAUGUGUAUACUAGGUGUCUAUGAUGUGUGUGUAUUGGAUAAUGUGAUGUGUAUACUAGGUGUCUAUGAUGUGUGUGUCUACAGGAACAUGGAGUGGCUGCAGGGUGGCCACAGCUGUCAGCGAGUCAUCGUCCAUACACAGUGAUGCCCUGUUCGACCCGGGGCCUGGUACUCCUGAUCUGGGUCUGGUUCGGGACAUCUCUCUGGGCUCUACAGGUCCUGGUCUGGACCGGAACAUCUCUCUGGGCUCUACAGGUCCUGGUCUGGACCGGAACAUCUCUCUGGGCUCUACAGGUCCUGGUCGGAACAUCUCUCUGGGCUCUACAGGGCCUGGUCUGGGUCAGAACAUCUCUCUGGGCUCCAUAGGUCCUGGUCGGAAAAUCUCUCUGGGCUCUACAGGUCCUGGUCGGGACAUCUCUCUGGGCUCUACAGGUCCUGGUCGGGACAUCUCUCUGGGCUCUACAGGUCCUGGUCUGGGUCAGAACAUCUCUCUGGGCUCUAAAGGUCCUGGUCGGAACAUCUCUCUGGGCUCUACAGGUCCUGGUCUGGACCGGAACAUCUCUCUGGGCUCUACAGGUCCUGGUCUGGACCGGAACAUCUCUCUGGGCUUUACGGGUCCUGGUCUGGACAUCUCUCUGGGCUCUACAGGUCCUGGUCUGGGUCGGGACAUAGAUUCCCUACAGGAGCAGACACAUACAGUAUGGACAUGAUUUAGGAGCAGUGCUUGACUUGGACAGAAAAAAAGUAGUCAGAGGCAUAUAUGUGUGUGUUUUAAAUCAACAAUAUCGAUGUUUGUCCAAUCAGAUGAUUUCAGUGGAACAGUUUGAACGGUCUUAUUAUGCUGAAUACCUUUCUGACUACCGUGUUGGAGAAACAUUAAAAGGAAAUAGC
Molecule: long non-coding RNA, 1002 nt
Organism: Oncorhynchus tshawytscha (Chinook salmon)
Lineage: Eukaryota; Metazoa; Chordata; Actinopteri; Salmoniformes; Salmonidae
Source: Ensembl